GCCGUUAGUGAUAAGCACGCCUGGCAUUCAUCAUUCCCUCCAACACCCCCUUUUCUCCACUUUUUCUCUCUCUUUCUCCCUCUCUUCUCCCUUUUCUCCGUUUCUCCUCCUCUCUCCAUUUUGAUUUCCUCUUCGUUUCUUGGGUUUAUGGGAUCUGAUUGAUCUCUUUUACAUCAGGUUACUUUUGGCUUCCAUCUUCAAGCCAAAAUUGCAGAAAACCAACUAGUUAAAGCUGAAACCCAGUAUGGCUGUUUCGAUGAGAGAUUUGGAUCCAGCUUUCCAGGGAGCUGGGCAAAAAGCUGGAACUGAAAUUUGGCGAAUUGAGAACUUUCGUCCUAUGCCUGUCCCAAAGUCCUCCUAUGGAAAAUUUUUCACAGGGGACUCCUAUGUAAUUUUGAAGACAACUGCUUUAAAAAAUGGGGCCUUACGGCAUGAUAUCCAUUAUUGGCUGGGUAAAGAUACCACUCAGGAUGAGGCUGGUACCGCAGCUGUCAAGACAGUUGAAUUGGAUGCGGCUCUUGGAGGACGAGCAGUUCAGUAUCGUGAAGUACAGGGCCAUGAAACGGAGAAGUUCCUUUCUUAUUUUAAACCAUGUAUCAUACCUCAACCUGGUGGAGUUGCAUCUGGGUUUAAGCAUGCUGAGGCUGAAGAGCACAAGACACGUUUGUAUGUCUGCAAGGGAAAACAUGUAGUUCAUGUAAAAGAGGUUUCUUUUGCACGAUCAUCACUCAAUCAUGAUGAUAUUUUUAUUCUAGAUACGAAGUCUAAAAUAUUUCAAUUUAAUGGGUCCAACUCAUCCAUUCAAGAGAGGGCUAAAGCACUAGAAGUUGUUCAAUACAUUAAAGAUACUUAUCAUGAUGGAAAAUGUGAAGUUGCUUCCAUUGAGGAUGGAAAGCUGAUGGCUGAUGCUGAAACUGGAGAAUUCUGGGGUUUUUUUGGUGGUUUUGCUCCACUUCCAAGGAAAACAGCCAAUGAAGAUGACAAAGCCGUGGAUUCUCUUCCUGCUAAGCUGUUUUGCAUUUUGAAGGGACAGGCAGAACCCGUUGAGGCUGAUUCUUUGACAAGAGAGUUGCUAGAUACAAAUAAGUGUUAUAUUCUAGAUUGUGGGGUGGAAGUUUUUGUGUGGAUGGGGAGAAAUACCUCUCUUGAUGAAAGAAAAAGUGCUAGUUCAGCAGCAGAAGAAUUACUCCGUAGCCUUGAUCGGCCAAAAUCUCACAUAAUCCGUGUAAUCGAAGGAUUUGAAACAGUAAUGUUCCGGUCAAAGUUUGAUAUGUGGCCUGAGACAACUGCUGUAACUGUAUCUGAGGAUGGUAGAGGCAAGGUGGCUGCACUUCUAAAACGCCAAGGGGUUAAUGUUAAGGGUCUUUUGAAAGCUGCUCCUGUAAAAGAAGAACCUCAACCAUACAUUGAUUGUACGGGAAAUCUGCAGGUUUGGCGUGUAAAUGGCCAAGAGAAGACACUACUUUCAGCUUCUGACCAGUCAAAAUUUUACAGUGGCGAUUGCUACAUCUUUCAGUAUUCAUAUCCUGGAGAAGAUAAAGAGGAACACCUUAUUGGCACAUGGUUUGGGAAGCAGAGUGUCGAGGAAGAAAGAACUUCAGCUAUCUCACUGGCAACCAAGAUGGUGGAGUCAUUGAAGUUUCUUCCUGCUCAGGCUCGCAUCUAUGAAGGAAACGAACCGAUCCAGUUCUUUUCAAUAUUUCAGAGCUUUAUUGUUUUUAAGGGUGGUGUAAGUGAUGGUUACAAGAAAUAUAUUGCUGAGAAGGAAGUUCCAGAUGACACAUAUACAGAAGACAGAGUUGCAUUAUUUCGAGUUCAGGGUUCUGGGCCUGAUAACAUGCAAGCAAUUCAAGUUGAACCAGUUGCAUCAUCUUUGAAUUCCUCGUACUGUUACAUAUUAAACAGUGGCUCCUCUGUUUUUAAUUGGUCUGGAAACCUUACGACCCCAGAAGAUCAGGAGCUUGUUGAGAGGCAACUGGAUGUGAUAAAGCCAAAUGUACAAUCCAAACCACAAAAAGAAGGCUCAGAAUCUGAACAAUUUUGGGAAUUUUUGGGAGGCAAAUCUGAAUACCCCAGUCAGAAGAUUGCACGAGAUGCUGAAAAUGAUCCUCACCUAUUCUCAUGCACUUUCUCAAAAGGAAAUUUGAAGGUGACGGAGAUAUUCAAUUUCACUCAGGAUGAUUUGAUGACUGAAGAUAUAUUCAUCCUGGAUUGUCACUCGGAGAUCUUUGUCUGGGUUGGGCAACAAGUUGAUUCCAAGAAUAGAAUGCAUGCUUUAACCAUCGGAGAGAAAUUUCUUGAACGUGAUUUUCUCCUAGAAAAAUUAUCUCAUACUGCUCCAAUUUAUAUUAUCAUGGAAGGGAGUGAGCCACCUUUCUUCACACGUUUCUUCACAUGGGACUCUGGAAAAUCUGCAAUGCAGGGAAACUCAUUUCAAAGGAAACUUGCAAUAGUGAAAAAUGGGAUUUCCCCUACUCCGGAAAAACCCAAGAGAAGAACACCAGUAUCAUAUGGAGGGAGAUCUAGUAGUUUGCCAGAAAAAUCACAACGGUCAAGAAGCAUGUCUUUCAGCCCUGACCGAGUUCGGGUGAGGGGCAGGUCUCCAGCCUUCAAUGCUCUAGCAGCUAACUUUGAGAACCCAAAUUCCAGGAACCUUUCGACUCCACCUCCAAUGGUUAGAAAGCUCUAUCCCAAAUCUGUGACCCCAGAUUCAUCUAAUCUGGAUUCCAGAUCUGCAGCAAUAGCAGCACUUUCUGCUAGUUUUGAACAACCGGCACGGGAGCCUAUUGUACCCAAAACUCCUAAAGUGACUGAAGAGGCACCAAAACCAAAACCAAAACCAGAAACAAACUCGAAAGAGAAAGCUAUGAGCAGCAGGAUAGAAGCCCUCACAAUAGAGGAAGAUGUAAAAGAGGGUGAAGCUGAAGAUGAAGAGGGUCUUCCAAUAUACCCAUAUGAGCGUCUUAAAACAACAUCCAUAGAACCUGUUGCCGAAAUUGAUGUGACCAAGCGAGAGACUUACCUGUCUUCAGAGGAGUUCCGACAGAAAUUUGGAAUGACAAAAGAUGCCUUCUAUAAGCUGCCCAAAUGGAAACAAAACAAGCUGAAAAUGGCCCUUCAGUUGUUCUGACUCUCUUUUUCAGAUACUCCUUUUUCAUCCGCCUUGCAGCAUAGGCUGCAGGUGGAACAAAAGCAUGCUUGCAAAUUUUGGGGGGGGACUCAAGUUAUCAGGGUGUGUUAGGGACAGCAUCAGUGCUUUUUUAGCUGCUUCUGCUCCCAAGAAGCUUGUUUUCAUGGUUGAUGGAGAAACCCAGAGAAUUUUUAUUUUUAUUUUUUUGGUUUCCUUUUCCCAUCUGCUGGUUUGGAUGUCUAGUUUUGCUUCUUUUUAGCUGCUUGUUAUUCUUUUUGGUCACAGGUUUGUUGUGAGCUUGCAUUUUUGUUCAUUUUUUCCCUUCUAAAUCUUCAUUUUGAUUCAACAAUUGAUUUCGACAGAGCUAUUAGAGGGCUUGCAAAAAUUCUUAGGUUGUAUUAUUGUAUGAUCCAGGAUGCCAAAAUGUGUGUACAGCAGAGUGUAUAAACCGGUUCACUCCUUAUUUGUUUUGACAAUAAAGUGUGAUUUUUUUUAACUUAA
Vitis riparia (riverbank grape) is the source of this 3631-nucleotide RNA transcript. It is a transcript of the gene named villin-4, with no coding region annotated. The transcript is spliced from 24 exons. The record is from RefSeq and is a predicted model, not a curated record. NCBI's taxonomy places the organism in Eukaryota, Viridiplantae, Streptophyta, Magnoliopsida, Vitales, Vitaceae.